UACGAGUGCGUCGAGCGUUAUCCGGAAUCAUUGGGCGUAAAGAGCGUGUAGGCGGCUCGGUUAGUCCGCUGUGAAAGUCCAGGGCUCAACCCUGGAAUGCCGGUGGAUACUGUCGAGCUAGAGUCCGGAAGGGGCGAGUGGAAUUCCUGGUGUAGCGGUGAAAUGCGCAGAUAUCAGGAGGAACACCAAUGGCGAAGGCAGCUCGCUGGGACGUGACUGACGCUGAGACGCGAAAGCGUGGGGAGCAAACAGG
Molecule: ribosomal RNA, 253 nt
Filed under: uncultured bacterium
Lineage: Bacteria
Description: partial 16S ribosomal RNA
Rfam family: Bacterial small subunit ribosomal RNA
Source: RNAcentral